UCCCUGGAGGACUAGUGGUAAGGCCUUGGUGGUCUCACCGCCGCGGCCCGGGUUCGAUUCCUGACCAGGGAA
Non-coding RNA from Pangasianodon gigas (Mekong giant catfish), 72 nucleotides. Lineage: Eukaryota; Metazoa; Chordata; Actinopteri; Siluriformes; Pangasiidae. The record is from the annotation of a GenBank genome assembly.